RNAcentral lists this long non-coding RNA (268 nucleotides) under Amborella trichopoda. RNAcentral describes it as "long non-coding RNA (ATRI_LNC003409)". The record is from RNAcentral. Lineage: Eukaryota; Viridiplantae; Streptophyta; Magnoliopsida; Amborellales; Amborellaceae.
GUCACCACCUUCAAGAACCCCAAGAGGACCAAUUGGAUCUUCUAAAAGUGACCCUUCGCCUCAAAGCCUCGACAAUACACCUAAGUGAGACCAAUAUGAUGAAGACGAUAUGUUAGAAAUCGAUGUGGUCUAGAUUAAUGAGAAGGGAUCAUCCUCCAUUCGAGGGGCCAACACUCCAAAGUACCCCAUCACUCUCGCAAAGGCCGACCCUAUCGAGCUUCAACCAGGUGAAGUAGACAACUUGACUCGAAGAGGCCGAGUAUUCAAG